Phyllostomus hastatus (greater spear-nosed bat) is the source of this 105-nucleotide small nuclear RNA. NCBI's taxonomy places the organism in Eukaryota, Metazoa, Chordata, Mammalia, Chiroptera, Phyllostomidae. The record is from RefSeq and is a predicted model, not a curated record.
GUGUUGGCAUGGCAAUACAGACAGUAAAAUAGAAAUAAGAAGAGAAGAAUAACACAGCCCCUGUGCAAAGGUGAUGCCCAAAUGUGUGAAGCAUUCAUAUUUUUC